GACGGAGGGUGCUAGCGUUGUUCGGAUUGACUGGGCGUAAAGGGCGUGUAGGCGGUCGGCCAAGUCUGAUGUGAAAGCCCGAGGCUCAGCCUCGGAAGUGCGUCGGAAACUAGUCGGCUGGAGCGCGAUAGAGGAGGGUGGAAUUCCUGGUGUAGCGGUGAAAUGCGUAGAUAUCAGGAGGAACACCGGCGGCGAAGGCGGCCCUCUGGAUCGUUGCUGACGCUGAGACGCGAAAGCGUGGGGAGCAAACAGG
RNAcentral lists this ribosomal RNA (253 nucleotides) under uncultured bacterium. RNAcentral describes it as "partial 16S ribosomal RNA". It matches the Rfam family "Bacterial small subunit ribosomal RNA", at positions 524 to 776 of the family's 1533-position model. The record is from RNAcentral.